RNAcentral lists this ribosomal RNA (775 nucleotides) under uncultured Neocallimastigales. RNAcentral's name for it is "partial large subunit ribosomal RNA". It matches the Rfam family "Eukaryotic large subunit ribosomal RNA", at positions 24 to 617 of the family's 3401-position model. The record is from RNAcentral. Lineage: Eukaryota; Fungi; Neocallimastigomycota; Neocallimastigomycetes; Neocallimastigales.
UACGACUACAUAUCAGGCAUAUCAAUAAGCGGAGGAAAAGAAACUAACAAGGAUUCCCUUAGUAACGGCGAGUGAAGCGGGAAGAGCUCAAAUUUGAAAUCUUCAAGGUUUUACCUUGACGAAUUGUAGUUUAAGGAAGUGUUUUCUGUUGAAGUUUUGGUAAAAGUUCUUUGGAAUAGGACAUCAUAGAGGGUGAGAAUCCCGUAUUUGACCAUUAUUUCCAGCUGUGUGAUACACUUUCAAGGAGUCGGAUUGUUUGGGAAUGCAGUCCAAAAUGGGUGGUAAAUUUCAUCUAAAGCUAAAUAUUGGCGAGAGACCGAUAGCGAACAAGUACCGUGAGGGAAAGAUGAAAAGAACUUUGAAAAGAGAGUUAAACAGUACGUGAAAUUGUCAAAAGGGAAGCGUUUGACACCAGUGUUGUUUUCUCGAAAAUCAAUUAAAAAAGUCAUGGAUUUUGUGUUGUAUUGACCUUUAAUCAGCUUGCUUCACUCUUUUCUGUCUUUUUUAAUGCACUUUUCGUUUAACAAGUCAACAUCAGUUUCUUUUGUUGUAAAAGGGUCAUUGGAAGGUGGCUUUCUCUUCGGAGAAAGUGUUUAUAGCCUUUGAUCCCUGCAAUCGGAGAGACUGGGGUCUGCAGCGUAGAUCCUUCGGGGUUAGAUACAUUUGUGCUAAGCUACAGCUUUUCAUAGACAACUUGUUGACUAUGUUUAGUCUUGUGACUUACCCGCUUAUGCUAUUUUACCUACGCUUAGGAUGUUGAGCGCAUGUCUCUCUC